GCGAAAGUGGCGGAAUUGGCAGACGCGCUGGACUUAGGAUCCAGUGAGUUAUACUCAUAGGGGUUCAAGUCCCCUCUUUCGCACCA
This 86-nucleotide transfer RNA is filed under the name Candidatus Cloacimonadota bacterium. RNAcentral describes it as "tRNA-Leu". It matches the Rfam family "tRNA". From Rfam's summary of the family: Transfer RNA (tRNA) molecules are approximately 80 nucleotides in length. Their secondary structure includes four short double-helical elements and three loops (D, anti-codon, and T loops). Further hydrogen bonds mediate the characteristic L-shaped molecular structure. tRNAs have two regions of fundamental functional importance: the anti-codon, which is responsible for specific mRNA codon recognition, and the 3' end, to which the tRNAs corresponding amino acid is attached (by aminoacyl-tRNA synthetases). tRNAs cope with the degeneracy of the genetic code in two manners: having more than one tRNA (with a specific anti-codon) for a particular amino acid; and 'wobble' base-pairing, i.e. permitting non-standard base-pairing at the 3rd anti-codon position. The record is from RNAcentral. Lineage: Bacteria; Pseudomonadati; Candidatus Cloacimonadota. RNAcentral also lists the same sequence under 1 other name.